AGCACUUGACUUAUCGCGAAAAGUGUAGUAGCGUAGAAUGCGCGAGUAUAGGUAUUCGCGAGGCGCGGAUUGCGGCUUAGUUGAGAGAGUGUGUUGGCAGUAGCACUUGAGUAUUGCUAGGUGUGAAGAGGGCUACGGAUCACUUGCAGGGCUAGUAGCUCGCACUAGGUGCUUCGGAGUCGAUAGAGGUACGUGUUAAUCAGUAGAGCAUGUUGUGUGUGACGGCGAUGGCGGGUAUUGCUUGGAGACGAUCCGUGCCUGGACCAUUUGUGGACUGUGGAGCCUGAGGGCAUGUGGACAGGCGCAGUCAGUUGUGUGUGACAGCGGCAUGAUACCUGCGGGUAGGGCAGAGGUUUCGGUCGGGACGGUAGUCCGAGCUUGGACCUGGGAACGUGGAAU
Molecule: long non-coding RNA, 399 nt
Filed under: Ananas comosus (pineapple)
Lineage: Eukaryota; Viridiplantae; Streptophyta; Magnoliopsida; Poales; Bromeliaceae
Description: long non-coding RNA (ACOM_LNC029262)
Source: RNAcentral